Long non-coding RNA from Dicentrarchus labrax (European seabass), 1468 nucleotides. RefSeq lists it as uncharacterized. The transcript is spliced from 2 exons. The record is from RefSeq and is a predicted model, not a curated record. NCBI's taxonomy places the organism in Eukaryota, Metazoa, Chordata, Actinopteri, Moronidae.
AUCAGGUAUUGGUGGCAGAGUAGGCUCAAAGUCUCUCUGAGCUACAGCGUCAUGAACCGACAGGAGACUCUGUAGAGGAAACAGGAAUGCAGUGAAGCUGCCGAUCUGCAUUCAGCCACUGUUGGAAAAAAGCUCCCGAAUGUUCAAGGCUACACGACAGCUGCGGCGACAGCUAAAACAGAACAGCCUUGACCGUCAGCAGCAAGUGGAGAGGCGGAGAGUGACUGUGUGCAGUCGCCCGUCUUGUCAAGCAUAUUACUGUAAUGACUUCUACUGCUUCAAGAUGUCGAGGCACACUCCAGAGACACAAUGCAUGAAGGUCAUUAGUUUCCACUGUGAGCAAACAGAAGCCUCUCUGAGGGGAAACAGACCCACGGUUUGGCCCUUCCAGUAGGUCCUGAUGAUUUAAGCCAGGCAGAGAGUGGCUGUCGAACCGAAUCUGAAGCAAAGGGAGUGAAGGGAAGGAGAUGGAGAGGAGUGUGGGGGAGAGGAUAGGGCUAGAUAGGCAGUAUGGAAACAUGGCAGGAAUUACAAUAUGUAGGGUAUACAGCAGGGACAAGAUCAAGGAAAGCAAAUGGAGAGAAAGGGGAAGAAUAGAGAUAAUGGAAGGAGAGUGUGGUUUGGGGAUGGAGAGAAGAAAAGAUGGAAGCAUAGAGUAAGGGAAAAGUGUAAAAAGAACAUCCUUGUAAGGCACAAGAGGGGAAAAAUCAGGAAAUGAAGGUGGAACGCGAUCAAAAUGGUACAAAAAGGAUAGUGGGAUGAAAUGGAAAUAUAGGAAUGAUGGGUUGGUAACAGGAAUGAAGAGGACUGGUAUAUAUAAUAUGAUGCACAUCUGAAGAGAAUAGAGACUGGUUGUGCUGUUUUGAGUCACAACCGUAGUGGGAGUGCUCUCUGUCACUUCAUCUUAAAUCUGAAAUUAAUUGUAUUCCUCCAACACGAAACAUUAAACUACACACAAAAUGAUUUUAGCAGCCUUUCACUGUCUUCAGUGACCUAACUCCUGGCAUACAGAUACAAAAUGAUAUCUGCUGUCAAACAGCUUUUCAGACGCUAAUAUCCAAGGUGACAGAGUUUUGAGAUAACAUUUCAUAAUUCAGUGCUCAUAGGAAGGAAUGUACGUUCCACUCGUGCUCCUGUGUGACAGGAAAGUCAUCUGUAUAUCAGAGGGAACAAUUUGAACGAUGAAAAACCUUCCCUGCUCCCUCUGCUGUCAAACUGCCAUCCUCGGCAGCGUGUCUAUCUGCAAAAGAUGUUUGAGGAGAGACGCUUACGUCUAAGGCCAGACUCGCUGCAUGCUCUUGGACGGGGAUGGGGCUUCGCUUCUCAAAACGCUUCAGUCGCUCGUGGAUCUGUCAGGAAAAGUAUCACAAUAAAGGUUUCCUCUGCAGUAAAAUACACUUACUGCAACUUCUACUGUUAGUACUAAUCCAAAUUUCCACAAUAGGGGAUUAAUAAAGUAUAAAUCUUC